RNAcentral lists this ribosomal RNA (633 nucleotides) under uncultured Verrucomicrobiota bacterium. Its description in RNAcentral is "bacterial SSU rRNA". It matches the Rfam family "Bacterial small subunit ribosomal RNA", at positions 37 to 648 of the family's 1533-position model. The record is from RNAcentral. Lineage: Bacteria; Pseudomonadati; Verrucomicrobiota.
UCGCGGCGUCGUUAAGACAUGCAAGUCGGACGAGAUUUUCCGUUGUAGCAAUACGAUGGAAAAUUUACUGGCGAACGGGUGCUUAACACGUGGGCAACCUGCCAGGAAGUGGGGGAUAGCUCGCCGAAAGGCGAAUUAAUACCGCAUGUGAUUAGAGAGGACAUCCUUUCGAAAUUAAAGUCGGCGCAACCUGACGCUUUUUGUGGGGCCCGCGGCCUAUCAGCUAGUUGGCGAGGUAACGGCUCACCAAGGCUUUGACGGGUAGCUGGUCUGAGAGGACGACCAGCCACACUGGGACUGAGACACGGCCCAGACACCUACGGGUGGCAGCAGUCGAGAAUUUUUGACAAUGGGCGAAACCCUGAUCGAGCGACGCCGCGUGGAGGAUGAAGGUCUUCGGAUUGUAAACUCCUGUCAUUGGGGAACAAUGCACAGAUAUUAACUGUAUUUGUGUUGAUAGUCCCCGAACAGGAAGAGACGGCUAACUCUGUGCCAGCAGCCGCGGUAAUACAGAGGUCUCAAGCGUUGUUCGGAUUCAUUGGGCGUAAAGGGUGCGUAGGCGGCGCGGUAAGUCGGGUGCGAAAUCUCCCAGCUUAACUUCGCAACUCCAUUCCAUACUGCCGUGCUUGAGGA